GGGCCCGCACAAGCGGUGGAGUAUGUGGUUUAAUUCGAUGCAACGCGAAGAACCUUACCAGGGUUUGACAUCCUGCGAAUCUCUUGGAAACGAGAGAGUGCCUUCGGGAACGCAGUGACAGGUGGUGCAUGGCUGUCGUCAGCUCGUGUCGUGAGAUGUUGGGUUAAGUCCCGCAACGAGCGCAACCCACGUCUUUAGUUGCCAGCAGUUCGGCUGGGCACUCUAGAGAAACUGCCUGGGAUGACCAGGAGGAAGGCGAGGAUGACGUCAAGUCCUCAUGGCCCUUAUGGGCUGGGCUACACACGUGCUACAAUGGCGGUUACAGUGGGAAGCAAAGGGGUGACCUGGAGCUAAUCCCCAAAGGCCGUCUCAGUUCGGAUUGUUCUCUGCAACUCGAGAACAUGAAGUCGGAAUCGCUAGUAAUCGU
This 427-nucleotide ribosomal RNA is filed under the name uncultured bacterium. RNAcentral describes it as "bacterial SSU rRNA". It matches the Rfam family "Bacterial small subunit ribosomal RNA", at positions 917 to 1345 of the family's 1533-position model. The record is from RNAcentral.